UCUAUGCGUGCAGACAGGACUGGUGCCGCUUUGUGAGUGUGAAGCCCGGUGUCCCAGUCCAAACUAUCCGGGUCUAAAGUAUCCUACCCGGAUAGUCUAGACUAUCCGGCCGGGUACUUUGUCCUAGGCUAGACUAUCCUCUAUCCGGACAAACUAUCCGGGUACAGAUCGUGAAUGCGUGCUAGGGAAAUUCAUGGACAAGAAGGGCGGUCAACAAACGGUCAACAAACACAAACGUCGCUCUUUUUUGGACGUUUUUUUCUAGAAGGAUGCUUUAAUUGAGCUAGGCAUCUGGAUGCGAUGACUUCAACAUGGCAACUACACUCAAGUUAUCUAGAAUCAAUUGACUGAGUCGAUCAGCCUUGCAAAAGUCUUAAAGAUAUUUAUUUAGCAGACACAUUGUAAUGUUUGUUUAUCUAUGAAUAUCGUAUAAAGUUUUCGUUCAAUAGAACAGAGAACACAUUUCA
This is a long non-coding RNA of Corticium candelabrum, 467 nucleotides long. RefSeq lists it as uncharacterized. The transcript is spliced from 2 exons. Lineage: Eukaryota; Metazoa; Porifera; Homoscleromorpha; Homosclerophorida; Plakinidae. The record is from RefSeq and is a predicted model, not a curated record.